GGCAUGUGGAGGAACCAAAGGAGAUUUGGGAGCACCAAGGUGGGACCUGGAAGUGGUGGGGGCACCAAGGUGGGACCUGGAGGAUCUGAAGAAGAUUGAGGGGCACCAAGGUGGGACCUGGAGGACCUGGAGAACAUUGAGGGGCACCAAGGUGGGACCUGGAGAAGGUUUGGGGUCACCAAGGUGGGACCUGAUGGACAUUGGGGUCACCAAGGUGGGACCUGGAGAAGGUUUGCGGUCACCA
This 244-nucleotide long non-coding RNA is filed under the name Zonotrichia albicollis (white-throated sparrow). RNAcentral's name for it is "lncRNA (ENSZALG00000007638.1)". The record is from RNAcentral. Lineage: Eukaryota; Metazoa; Chordata; Aves; Passeriformes; Passerellidae.